Molecule: transfer RNA, 76 nt
Filed under: Geminicoccaceae bacterium
Lineage: Bacteria; Pseudomonadati; Pseudomonadota; Alphaproteobacteria; Geminicoccales; Geminicoccaceae
Description: tRNA-Thr
Rfam family: tRNA
About the family: Transfer RNA (tRNA) molecules are approximately 80 nucleotides in length.
Source: RNAcentral
GCCGGCGUAGCUCAGCUGGUAGAGCAACCGCCUUGUAAGCGGUAGGUCGCGGGUUCGAGCCCUGCCGCCGGCACCA